Pongo pygmaeus (Bornean orangutan) is the source of this 5108-nucleotide long non-coding RNA. RefSeq lists it as uncharacterized. NCBI's taxonomy places the organism in Eukaryota, Metazoa, Chordata, Mammalia, Primates, Hominidae. The record is from RefSeq and is a predicted model, not a curated record. The transcript is spliced from 4 exons.
GCACAGGGUUGCUGCAAGCGUCACAGCCUCCACCCCGACGCCCACGUCUGCCGUCUGCUGGGGACGCCCCACAGCUCCGGCUCCAGAGAUAAAGUGGGGAUGGGAAAGGGAGGGUGGCUCACCCAGGGUGGGGGCGGUGGAGGCGGGGCUGUCAGCCACUGUGAGGUCACCAGGAGGGGUGACGUGAGGGCUGAGUUACAGCCAGGGUGGGGCUGGGGCAUAGCCCGGGCUGUGGGGCUGGGGGCAGGUGGGAACUGACAGGACACAAAGACAUGGCCAGAGCUGGGACUGGGGGUGUCAGAGGCCCUGUAGUAACAGGAACGGAGGACAGACGCCCAGGCAGCUCCAGCUCCUUCCUGGGCCCUUCCAGCCCCCGCCCUCGCGCGGGGCUCACCAGGAUGUAAAGGGCCCCCUCCGAGCUCUUCUCAUACUCCUUGAUGGUGGAAAACACAGACAGCACGAGGCAGGAGAAAACCAGGAGGAACCUGGGGGCAGGGAACGCGUGUUCAGCCAGGCCGCAGCAGGGCACCAGCAUGGCCGCAUCUCCAGAACGCAGGACCCCACUCCCCACCCACCCCACCAGAGCACACUCAGGCCAGAGGGCACCCCCACAGCCACCUCCCGGGACCCCGAACUCCACAGUGGCACCGUGCGCAGCUGCCCCCUCCAGGACGCGCCCCCCUCUCCACUCUGGCCCCCGCCCCCUCUGUCUGGUUUCAGCCUGGCAGCCUCAUCCUUUGGCAACGUCUCCAAAACUCUGAGUCAAAUGGGAACAGCAAGGCCCGCCCAUCAACUGCUACAAACACAGGAACAAGCAAAACCCCUGGGGCAGAAGGCACCCGAUCAGCCUUCCCUUCUCCUCACUCUCGGCCACCUCCUCCAGAUCCCAAUGCAGAGCGCUUCUCUCUGCCAGUUAAAUCUGGAGCCAAGCAACAAGAGCUCCUCGGAUCACCUUCUUUCCAGCCUCAUCCUGGCUGCCAGGAGGCUCAGUUUCUCCUUCCUCCCGGGUUGCAGGCACCUCCUCCCGCCAGUGACUUCCACCGUGAUUGCUCUUCCCAUCCAUGUCCCAAGCGAUUACCUCACUCACUGAUCCUUCUUCAAUUUCCCCUCAGAUGCUCAAGUUCACGCCCCACCAAAACUCCCCCAAAUGCAUGUGUUCUGGGACGUGAAGAGGACGUGUCCAACGUCCAGGUCCUUUGUCACAGCCAUAAAGGAGGCCAUGCGUGGGACACGCCCUCAUUCCAGGCAAUGUGAGAGACGCCUUCACCUUGACCGUGUUGCUGCCUCUCGUUCCAACCGUGCUCAGAACCAGGAGCCGGCGGGGACGGAGCCACAGAGCAGCCGCUUCCCCGUGUCCGCGCCCCUGUGCACACUCGCCAUCACCUUGCACACCCGGCAGCACCACACGGCCGCCACGGAGCCUGUGGGGCCCUCCUGUGUCUCAAACCCGAGCCCUUCCCCAGUGCCCACAUCCAGGUUGUCAACUAGGAGGAGGCAGGCCUGGGGCACUGGCAGGAGGAUGGGUGAGCACAGGAAAACCUGCCUGAAGAUGAGGUCACAACGAGGAAGGCAGCACAGAGGGAUGGGAGAAGAGACCUUAAGACACAUAAUGUGAGCACCUGGAUCCAGCUGUGCCUGAAGCCCCUUGGACUUCCAGGUUAUGUAAGCCCAUUCCUUACAACUCUUUGGAUUUGUUUUCUGCCCCUUGCAAAUAAAAGACCCUGACCUUUCAGGCUAUGAGCAGCUGACGGACAUGGGUGUGUCCCUCCUCUGAACCCACGCCUGACUCCACCAUGCAGUGGCCACAUGCUACUCCAACCCACAGCUCCCCCCUGGGCAGACAAGCCACGCGGCUGUGACACAAGCUGCCACGGAUCAAAAAGGAAAAACAAGUCCUCGGUGUGCGGAGCUAUUUAGUGAGCACAGGGCACUCUACCAAGAAGGAUAAGACGUCUGUUUAAGAACCAAAAAACAAAAGAGAAGAAGAAAAACUGGCCAUGCAUCAGCACUUCGGGAGAAGGCCGAGGUGGGCAGAUCACUUGAGGUCAGGAGUUCGAAACUAGCCUGGCCAAUAUGGUGAAAUUAUGUCUCUACUAAAAAUACAAAAAUUAGCCAGGCAUGGUGGCGCGUGCCUGUAAUCCCAGCUACUUGGAAGGCUGAGGCAGAAGAAUUGCUUGAACCCAGGAGGCGGAGGCUGCAGUGAGCCGAGACCAUGCCACUGCACUCCAGCCUAGGCAAUAGAGCAAGACUCUGUCUCAAAAAGAAAAAAAAGAAACAAACAAAUAAAAAAGUAAAGACCAAGUCCAACCAGAUAAGGACACACACAAGCCAGUCCUCCAUGCUCAGUUCUCCCUGGAGGCCUCUGUCUUCACCGCCGCUGUCUCACAGUCGCCUGCAGCAGCCCAGGCCAGGCCUCUGGGCUGGUAUUAACUCUCUGUUCUGUGUCUUUUUCCUCGUGAUGUUAAACCUCACUUUGGGUGGAAAGUGGAACUUGACCAGAUGAGCACACGGCAAUGUACAGUCUGCAACACUGACCAACAUGGAGUGGCCGUGACCGCAGCAUGACCCAGAAGCUCUAGGGAGAACCUGCCUGCUUGGGAACUCCACGUAGCUCAUGGCUUUUGUGAUUGAAACAGCAUCAAUAAAAGCCUGACCCUGUGGAAAGACACAAACCCGCGUGGACCUCAUGUCAAGCCCGUCCUAUGUGCAAAGUGCCUCCAGGACCCGGGGCCUCGGGCAAGCUCCCUUCAGCCAAGAACAAGAGGGUGGCUGUGCUGUUCCAGGCUCGAUUCACAACGGACACCCCAACGGCUUCCCUCUGCCCGGACCCAGUCAUCUCCCCAACGAACACCCUCUGGAUGUGGGGAGGCCGGCAUGGCCCCCUGCAGCCGCCCUCCCACUCACUGGAGACCCCCAAGUCCAGGCAGCCUGAGUCCUCCGGCCUGGGCAGGCGCAGUCCCCAUAGCUCCGCCUUCCGACUCCCCAGCAGCGGCCUCUGCUGCACGGCCCAGGGCGUCCAGGGCAGGGAAGGCAGGGCACAGGGUGGUCCUCCCGAGAUCUGCCCCAGGAAGGACCAUGGCCGUGUUUCAGAAGCACUCAGGACCAUGUGGUCCGAAGCAGAGGUGGAGGCUUUGGGCACAGGCGGCCCGGCCAAGGUCAGCCCCACCACCUGCCCAUCCCAGCACCAGAGCCAACUGAGGCCUGGCACUGCUCGGCCACAGGCAGCGGCGGCAGAAACUGUGCCUGUGAAGGCUCUGGCCGAGCACCCAAACCAAAGAUGAAGGCGCAGGAGCCAAAGCCACAUUUUAAAGCAUCUCAUGUGAAAACUGUCAGCAUCUCUAGCAUGAGCCCAAGUUCAGAUUCUACCCACACACACCCCGAGGACGUCCCAGCCCCAUGCCAUUGAGAAGCUGUAAUCCAGUGCCUGCCUCUGAGCUGAGGGCAGCAGGCUGGAAACUCGGCACGACUUCCACGUUGCUGUCUUGAGGAAAAUCCUUUUUCUUCCAGAAACUUCAGUCUUUGCUCUCAAGGCCUCAGCUGCUGGGACGAGGCCCAGCCCCAUGGCAGAGGGACACUAGCUUCACUUGAAGUCCGCUGAGCUAAGUGUUCACGCCGGAAAACACCUGCACAGCAGCGUCAAGGCAGGUGCGUGGCCACCAGCCGGGCACCGUGGCGGGGCUGACUGGAUGCAUAAAGUGGGCAUCACGGGCUGGGAGAGGACACAGGGGCCUCGGCCAGAGGCCUGGGACUGCAGCAGGAACAGGCUGAUUCAGCGGUGCAGGCGCGCAACACCCUGACUGAUGUUCAAGGACAGUGGUGGGGAGAGCCAGGUCUCUCGCCGGCAGCUCGGCUCCCCGACAGAUCCAGGCCACACACCCGCCCAGGACCCCACCAGCCGGCCUGCAGCCGCAGAGAGAGGCCCUACCGGGACCCGCCUCGUGGGAACUGGGAGCCUCCACACAGGCCAGCCAGAACACCUCGGCCCGGGACGACACGCCAGCCGGAGCUCCAGCUGCAGGGGCAGGGGUUGGGGAAGGGGCUUCCAGGAAGAAGAGUCCCUGCAGGCUAAGGGGAGGGGUCCAGGGACGCAUGAGAAGCUCGAAGUGCAGCACCGCAUGUGGAGGCCGGGCGGGUCCAAGAGCCAGCGCCUGCCCCACGCUGCACCCCUCCCCGCCACCCGCAAGACCACAAGCCAUAGCCGGGUCCUGCCCUAUUCAGCUGCCGCCCCGCAGUGGACAUAGGCACAGCAGCACGCGGAAGGCCCUGUAUUAGGCACCCCAGGAGACACCGGUCCUCCGCCCGCCGCCACAGGCCCACGGCUUCCAGCUCGAAGGCACUGGCCCUGAGGCACCGUCACCAGGGGGCACUCGGCCCCACCCACGUGUGCAACCCAGAGGCCUCCGCCAGGCCCCGAAGCUCCCGGCUCCAAGCAGGGGCGCUGGCAGCGGUGCCGAGGCCCAAGCAAACAAACCACACGCAAGGGACGUCCCAUUUCCAAGCCGCGAUUAAUUUCCUGUGCUCGUUGGCCAAGUUCUUCAAUUAACUGAGCCCUGGGAAAAAUGCGCAGACAUCUCGUGCGCCUUCUGCGGGCGAUCCUCUGUCUGCCUAACGGGGUUUUCUCUGGACUCUCAGUGGGGUGGGAGCAGGGGAGGACGCGGGGGUCCCUGGCUUCCCAGUCAGGAGCCCAGAGGCUUGGGAGGCAGGAGGGGCGCAGCGGGGACACAGAGGGCAUCACACAUCACAGGAGCGGCUCAGGGACCCAGCUCAGCCCAGCAGAGCCACGCACAUAAUCCUGUGGGCUUCCCGGAGGAGGCAUGUACAGGGGCAGGGGGGCUACAGGGUACAGAGGAGUUGGCCACAAGGGGAGAAGGGGAAGGGCAUUCCCAGCAGAGGGAGGAGCAGGUGGGGAGGCCUGGAGAGAGAAGGGCAGGCGUAUCUGCCUCCCACCGAGGAUGAGGCUGACCAGACUUGAGAACAGGGUGGGGUGGGGACAAGGACAGCCCCACAGACUUGAAUUCUGAGUCCUUGGUGCUGCAUCCAGGAAGGCAGCUCCUCGGGCUGCAGGGAACCUUCCUCUAAAUUAAAAAAGCACGAGGUCCAGAUCCCGA